GAUGAACGCUGGCGGCGUGCUUAACACAUGCAAGUCGAACGGAAAGGCUCCUGCUUGCAGGGGUACUCGAGUGGCGAACGGGUGAGUAACACGUGGGUGAUCUGCCCUGCACUUCGGGAUAAGCCUUGGAAACUGGGUCUAAUACCGGAUAGGACGAUGGUUUGGAUGCCAUUGUGGAAAGUUUUUCGGUGUGGGAUGAGCUCGCGGCCUAUCAGCUUGUUGGUGGGGUAAUGGCCUACCAAGGCGUCGACGGGUAGCCGGCCUGAGAGGGUGUACGGCCACAUUGGGACUGAGAUACGGCCCAGACUCCUACGGGAGGCAGCAGUGGGGAAUAUUGCACAAUGGGCGCAAGCCUGAUGCAGCGACGCCGCGUGGGGGAUGACGGCCUUCGGGUUGUAAACUCCUUUCGCUAGGGACGAAGCGCAAGUGACGGUACCUGGAGAAGAAGCACCGGCUAACUACGUG
Molecule: ribosomal RNA, 465 nt
Filed under: uncultured bacterium
Lineage: Bacteria
Description: partial 16S ribosomal RNA
Rfam family: Bacterial small subunit ribosomal RNA
Source: RNAcentral